Molecule: ribosomal RNA, 546 nt
Filed under: uncultured bacterium
Lineage: Bacteria
Description: bacterial SSU rRNA
Rfam family: Bacterial small subunit ribosomal RNA
Source: RNAcentral
GGGGAAUAUUGCGCAAUGGGGGCAACCCUGACGCAGCCAUGCCGCGUGAGUGAAGAAGGCCUUCGGGUUGUAAAGUUCUUUCGGUAGCGAGGAAGGCAUUUAGUUUAAUAGACUAGGUGAUUGACGUUAACUACAGAAGAAGCACCGGCUAACUCCGUGCCAGCAGCCGCGGUAAUACGGAGGGUGCGAGCGUUAAUCGGAAUAACUGGGCGUAAAGGGCACGCAGGCGGUGACUUAAGUGAGGUGUGAAAGCCCCGGGCUUAACCUGGGAAUUGCAUUUCAUACUGGGUCGCUAGAGUACUUUAGGGAGGGGUAGAAUUCCACGUGUAGCGGUGAAAUGCGUAGAGAUGUGGAGGAAUACCGAAGGCGAAGGCAGCCCCUUGGGAAUGUACUGACGCUCAUGUGCGAAAGCGUGGGGAGCAAACAGGAUUAGAUACCCUGGUAGUCCACGCUGUAAACGAUGUCGAUUUGGGGGUUGAACUUUAAGUUUGGCGCCCGUAGCUAACGUGAUAAAUCGACCGCCUGGGGAGUACGGCCGCAAGGUUA